GGGCCACCCGGUGACCUUCGGAGAAGGAAGUUGGUGGAUCCUCUUGCUUCCCUGGAAAGGCAGCUGGGCGCGGGGUAGGGUGUGCGGAGCGCGGUUCUGCCGCUCUCGGCCAUGGCGGGGCAGAUGGAAGCCGCAGAUUUCCGCUCGCAAGCCCGGGACUAGGGCCGGGACCGCAGGCACCUUCCGGGCCGGGAGUUCAAGGUGAGCCGGCAGCUGGCGACUAACAGCUCCGGCUGCUCCAGAGUCAGCGCUCCUCCGCCUGGGCCGCGCGCCUGCUCCGCUUUCCUCGCGAGCCGAGAAAUCCCAGCGCUGGGGCGGACGUGCGCCCCUCGCUCCGCUCCGCUCCCGCCCGCCUCUGCCCGCCUCCUCCAGCCGGCCGGGCACCGGGAGCCGGGCGCCAGGGCCGCCCCGCCGAGCCGAGCUUGCAGCCCCGACCGCUUCCCGAAAGCAGGAGGGAAGAACCGCAGCACCCGCCCGCCCGCGCCUCCCAUCCGGCGCUUUGCCAGCAACAAACACAAACUUUCCCAAGCCCCUCCCCGCUCCAGGUAACGGAGGCAGCGCCGGGACCACCCGCUUAAAGGGGAGGAGGCGUCGCAGCCCACCCAGCUCUCCCCCC
Long non-coding RNA from Bubalus bubalis (water buffalo), 616 nucleotides. RefSeq lists it as uncharacterized. The record is from RefSeq and is a predicted model, not a curated record. The transcript has 2 exons. NCBI's taxonomy places the organism in Eukaryota, Metazoa, Chordata, Mammalia, Artiodactyla, Bovidae.